Molecule: ribosomal RNA, 496 nt
Filed under: uncultured bacterium
Lineage: Bacteria
Description: partial 16S ribosomal RNA
Rfam family: Bacterial small subunit ribosomal RNA
Source: RNAcentral
AUGAACGCUGGCGGCGUGCCUAACACAUGCAAGUCGAGCGAACGGACGAGAAGCUUGCUUCUCUGAUGUUAGCGGCGGACGGGUGAGUAACACGUGGAUAACCUACCUAUAAGACUGGGAUAACUUCGGGAAACCGGAGCUAAUACCGGAUAAUAUUUUGAACCGCAUGGUUCAAAAGUGAAAGACGGUCUUGCUGUCACUUAUAGAUGGAUCCGCGCUGCAUUAGCUAGUUGGUAAGGUAACGGCUUACCAAGGCAACGAUGCAUAGCCGACCUGAGAGGGUGAUCGGCCACACUGGAACUGAGACACGGUCCAGACUCCUACGGGAGGCAGCAGUAGGGAAUCUUCCGCAAUGGGCGAAAGCCUGACGGAGCAACGCCGCGUGAGUAAUGAAGGUCUUCGGAUCGUAAAACUCUGUUAUUAGGGAAGAACAUAUGUGUAAGUAACUGUGCACAUCUUGACGGUACCUAAUCAGAAAGCCACGGCUAACUACGUG